UUUAUGGAGAGUUUGAUCCUGGCUCAGGAUGAACGCUGGCGGCGUGCCUAAUACAUGCAAGUCGAGCGAACGGAUGAGAAGCUUGCUUCUCUGAUGUUAGCGGCGGACGGGUGAGUAACACGUGGAUAACCUACCUAUAAGAC
RNAcentral lists this ribosomal RNA (143 nucleotides) under Staphylococcus aureus. RNAcentral describes it as "partial 16S ribosomal RNA". It matches the Rfam family "Bacterial small subunit ribosomal RNA", at positions 1 to 138 of the family's 1533-position model. The record is from RNAcentral. Lineage: Bacteria; Bacillati; Bacillota; Bacilli; Caryophanales; Staphylococcaceae.